GAGAGGCCAAGCCACCUCAUUAUCUACUUUACCACCUAAGCCCAGAAAGGGUGGAGCAGGCUCAAGGUCACCUGGGGAGAUUCUAGCCUCAGCUUCCCAGCAGAGGGGUCUUCUAUAGAAAGUGACCCCAAGACAGGGGGCUGUCAUGGGAGUCACAGAUUUUCACCCCAAAUUUAAGGGGGUAUCUGAGCCCUGUGUGUCCUUCCUACCCACCUCUCAGGCGCUAUUUACAUCUGAUAAACUCAAAUGGUAGUCAGAACAGAAAGGGCCUCCUCUAAGGUGACUUGCUAAGUCCUCCCCUAAGGAUGAAGGAGAGAAGCUUCCUGCCCCUGUUACACAUGGCCUCUUCCCAGGCCCAGCAGCUCACCUGGACCACAGGAAGCACCAAAAGAGCUGGCUGAAUGAAUCAAGAGAUCAAGUGCUCUCCCUGAGGCCCUAAAACAGCUCUGUGUCUGACUGCCCAGAAGGAAGCAGAAGUGAGUGACAAGUUGGGGAAAUCAGAGCUUGCACACCGUAGGCCUAAGCACUAGCCUCUGGGGAAACACAAGGCCAGCUGACCUCGGUGAAAUUAGGACCAGGGUGGAGGCCACCUCUUCUGGUUCAUCCUCCGCUAGCCUGUCAGCUUCUUUGGCUCAGCAACACCCAGAAUUCCGGGCAUGUUUGCCUCUGGCCUUCUAAAAAUACCCUGGCCGUCCAGCCCCUCCCAGAUGUCUGAGCGCUGAGUCUGUGAUUUCCCUGUCCGUAAUGGGACAGCCCCAGUGUGGUAGGCGGAGGUGG
Long non-coding RNA from Cebus imitator (Panamanian white-faced capuchin), 777 nucleotides. RefSeq lists it as uncharacterized. The transcript is spliced from 3 exons. NCBI's taxonomy places the organism in Eukaryota, Metazoa, Chordata, Mammalia, Primates, Cebidae. The record is from RefSeq and is a predicted model, not a curated record.